Molecule: ribosomal RNA, 516 nt
Filed under: Triticum aestivum (bread wheat)
Lineage: Eukaryota; Viridiplantae; Streptophyta; Magnoliopsida; Poales; Poaceae
Description: partial small subunit ribosomal RNA
Source: RNAcentral
AUGACUGAGGCGGUGAAGGAGGUGGCAACAGCCAUCAGGGAGUGCAAGCCCCUCGACGUCCACCCUGACCUGUAUGGCGCUGUCAUGACCCAGGGUGGCUUCAGCGACGAGGCUUUCAUGGCAGCUCUCAGCCACCUGCUUGACAACAAGGCCCAGGGUGUUGGGUUCGUUGCCAUGGCCGACGCUCACAGGGGCAAGUGGUAUGCCGUGUUCAUUGGUGAGGUUCCAGGGAUUUAUAGUUCAUGUGAAGAAGCCAAUGCACAAGUGGCAUCGUAUAGCAACAACAACUAUAGAGGGUUCAAGACUAAGCAGGCAGCAGAACAAGCUUACUCCGCCUGGGUGCGAAAGCACGGAGGCAGCAGUGUCGACAGUGCCAAGGUUGGAGCUGUCAAAGUAGAAGCUGCUAAGGUGGAUCGUCAGUUCGGCCUGAAGCUGAAGAACUUCAUCAUCUUCGCCCAGUUCGUCACCAUUGCUGUGUUGUGGCGUUGGUGUGCUAGGUGUGAUCAUUGUGGGUAA